This 499-nucleotide ribosomal RNA is filed under the name uncultured bacterium. RNAcentral describes it as "partial 16S ribosomal RNA". It matches the Rfam family "Bacterial small subunit ribosomal RNA", at positions 28 to 507 of the family's 1533-position model. The record is from RNAcentral.
GACGAACGCUGGCGGCGUGCCUAAUACAUGCAAGUCGAGCGGACUUUCAAGAAGCUUGCUUUUUGAAAGUUAGCGGCGGACGGGUGAGUAACACGUGGGCAACCUGCCUGCAAGACGGGGAUAACUCCGGGAAACCGGGGCUAAUACCGGAUAAUAUCUUCCUUCGCAUGAAGGAAGGUUGAAAGGCGGCGCAAGCUGCCGCUUGCAGAUGGGCCCGCGGCGCAUUAGCUAGUUGGUGAGGUAACGGCUCACCAAGGCGACGAUGCGUAGCCGACCUGAGAGGGUGAUAGGCCACACUGGGACUGAGACACGGCCCAGACUCCUACGGGAGGCAGCAGUAGGGAAUCUUCCGCAAUGGACGAAAGUCUGACGGAGCAACGCCGCGUGAGCGAAGAAGGUCUUCGGAUCGUAAAGCUCGGUUGUCAGGGAAGAACAAGUACCGUUCGAACAGGGCGGUACCUUGACGGUACCUGACCAGAAAGCCACGGCUAACUACGUG